Molecule: ribosomal RNA, 462 nt
Filed under: Streptococcus cristatus
Lineage: Bacteria; Bacillati; Bacillota; Bacilli; Lactobacillales; Streptococcaceae
Description: bacterial SSU rRNA
Rfam family: Bacterial small subunit ribosomal RNA
Source: RNAcentral
GACGAACGCUGGCGGCGUGCCUAAUACAUGCAAGUAGAACGCUGAAGGAGGAGCUUGCUCUUCUGGAUGAGUUGCGAACGGGUGAGUAACGCGUAGGUAGCCUGCCUGGUAGCGGGGGAUAACUAUUGGAAACGAUAGCUAAUACCGCAUAAUAUUGACUAUUGCAUGAUAGUCAAUUGAAAGGUGCAAAUGCACCACUACCAGAUGGACCUGCGUUGUAUUAGCUAGUUGGUGGGGUAACGGCUCACCAAGGCGACGAUACAUAGCCGACCUGAGAGGGUGAUCGGCCACACUGGGACUGAGACACGGCCCAGACUCCUACGGGAGGCAGCAGUAGGGAAUCUUCGGCAAUGGACGGAAGCCUGACCGAGCAACGCCGCGUGAGUGAAGAAGGUUUUCGGAUCGUAAAGCUCUGUUGUAAGAGAAGAACGAGUGUGAGAGUGGAAAGUUCACACUGUGACG